This 253-nucleotide ribosomal RNA is filed under the name uncultured bacterium. RNAcentral's name for it is "partial 16S ribosomal RNA". It matches the Rfam family "Bacterial small subunit ribosomal RNA", at positions 524 to 776 of the family's 1533-position model. The record is from RNAcentral.
CACGUAGGGGGCAAGCGUUGUCCGGAAUUAUUGGGCGUAAAGAGCUCGUAGGCGGUUUGUUGCGUCGGCUGUGAAAUCCCGAGGCUCAACCUCGGGUCUGCAGUCGAUACGAGCAAACUAGAGUGUUGCAGGGGAGACUGGAAUUCCUGGUGUAGCGGUGAAAUGCGCAGAUAUCAGGAGGAACACCGGUGGCGAAGGCGGGUCUCUGGGCAACAACUGACGCUGAGGAGCGAAAGCGUGGGGAGCGAACAGG